UACGGAGGGAGCUAGCGUUGUUCGGAUUUACUGGGCGUAAAGCGCAUGUAGGCGGAUCGAUCAGUCAGGGGUGAAAUCCCAGAGCUCAACUCUGGAACUGCCUUUGAUACUGUCGAUCUGGAGUAUGGAAGAGGUGAGUGGAAUUCCGAGUGUAGAGGUGAAAUUCGUAGAUAUUCGGAGGAACACCAGUGGCGAAGGCGGCUCACUGGUCCAUUACUGACGCUGAGGUGCGAAAGCGUGGGGAGCAAACAGG
RNAcentral lists this ribosomal RNA (253 nucleotides) under uncultured bacterium. RNAcentral's name for it is "partial 16S ribosomal RNA". It matches the Rfam family "Bacterial small subunit ribosomal RNA", at positions 524 to 776 of the family's 1533-position model. The record is from RNAcentral.